RNAcentral lists this ribosomal RNA (271 nucleotides) under uncultured Syntrophaceae bacterium. RNAcentral's name for it is "partial 16S ribosomal RNA". It matches the Rfam family "Bacterial small subunit ribosomal RNA", at positions 1110 to 1374 of the family's 1533-position model. The record is from RNAcentral. Lineage: Bacteria; Pseudomonadati; Thermodesulfobacteriota; Syntrophia; Syntrophales; Syntrophaceae.
UUUAGUUGCCAUCAUUCAGUUGGGCACUCUAGAGGGACUGCCGGUGUCAAACCGGAGGAAGGUGGGAUGACGUCAAGUCCUCAUGGCCUUUAUGCCCAGGGCUACACACGUGCUACAAUGGGCGGUACAAAGAGCAGCGAGCUCGCGAGAGUAAGCAAAUCUCAAAAAGCCGUCCUCAGUUCGGAUUGGAGUCUGCAACUCGACUCCAUGAAGUUGGAAUCGCUAGUAAUCGCGGAUCAGCAUGCCCGCGGUCCGAAUACGUUCCGGCCUU